Molecule: ribosomal RNA, 347 nt
Filed under: Trametes versicolor
Lineage: Eukaryota; Fungi; Basidiomycota; Agaricomycetes; Polyporales; Polyporaceae
Description: SSU rRNA
Rfam family: Eukaryotic small subunit ribosomal RNA
Source: RNAcentral
AUAGCGUAUAUUAAAGUUGUUGCAGUUAAAAAGCUCGUAGUUGAACUUCAGACCUGGUUGGGCGGUCCGCUUAACGGCGUGUACUGUUCGACUGGGCCUUACUUCUUGGUGAGCUGGCGUGCCCUUUACUGGUGUGCGUCGGGGAACCAGGACUUUUACCUUGAGAAAAUUAGAGUGUUCAAAGCAGGCUUAUGCUCGAAUACAUUAGCAUGGAAUAAUAAAAUAGGACGUGCGGUUCUAUUUUGUUGGUUUCUAGAGUCGCCGUAAUGAUUAAUAGGGAUAGUUGGGGGCAUUAGUAUUCAGUUGCUAGAGGUGAAAUUCUUGGAUUUACUGAAGACUAACUACUG